This 350-nucleotide ribosomal RNA is filed under the name uncultured bacterium. RNAcentral's name for it is "bacterial SSU rRNA". It matches the Rfam family "Bacterial small subunit ribosomal RNA", at positions 917 to 1287 of the family's 1533-position model. The record is from RNAcentral.
GGACCCGCACAAGUAGUGGAGCAUGUGGUUUAAUUCGAAGAUACGCGCAGAACCUUACCAACACUUGACAUGUUCGUCGCGACUUUAAGAGAUUAAAGUUUUCGGUUCGGCCGGACGAAACACAGGUGCUGCAUGGCUGUCGUCAGCUCGUGUCGUGAGAUGUUGGUUAAGUCCCGCAACGAGCGCAACCCUCACUUUUAGUUGCCAUCAUUAAGUUGGGCACUCUGAAAGAACUGCCAGUGAUAAGCGGGAGGAAGGUGUGGAUGACGUCAAGUCCUCAUGGCCCUUACGGGUUGGGCUACACACGUGCUACAAUGGCAGUGACAAUGGGUUAAUCCCAAAAAGCUGUC